Molecule: non-coding RNA, 1826 nt
Filed under: Streptomyces sp. NRRL WC-3618
Lineage: Bacteria; Bacillati; Actinomycetota; Actinomycetes; Kitasatosporales; Streptomycetaceae
Description: Bacterial large subunit ribosomal RNA
Rfam family: Bacterial large subunit ribosomal RNA
Source: Rfam by way of RNAcentral
GGAUGGGUAGGGGAGCGUCGUGUGCCGGGUGAAGCUGCAGCGGAAGCUAGUGGUGGACGGUUCACGAGUGAGAAUGCAGGCAUGAGUAGCGAUACACACGUGGGAAACGUGUGCGCCGAUUGACUAAGGGUUCCUGGGUCAAGCUGAUCUGCCCAGGGUAAGUCGGGACCUAAGGCGAGGCCGACAGGCGUAGUCGAUGGAUAACCGGUUGAUAUUCCGGUACCCGCUGUGAAGCGUCAAACAGUGAACCAGGCGAUGCUAAGUCCGUGAAGCCGCCCCGGAGCCUUCGGGCAAGGGGGAGUGGUGGAGCCGACGGACCAGACCUGUAGUAGGUGAGUGAUGGGGUGACGCAGGAAGGUAGUCCAUCCCGGGCGGUGGUUGUCCCGGGGUAAGGGUGUAGGCCGUGCGAUAGGCAAAUCCGUCGCACAUUGAGGCUGAGACCUGAUGCCGAGCCGAUUGUGGUGAAGUGGAUGAUCCUAUGCUGUCGAGAAAAGCCUCUAGCGAGUUUCAUGGCGGCCCGUACCCUAAACCGACUCAGGUGGUCAGGUAGAGAAUACCGAGGCGUUCGGGUGAACUAUGGUUAAGGAACUCGGCAAAAUGCCCCCGUAACUUCGGGAGAAGGGGGGCCAUCACUGGUGAGGAGAUUUACUCUCCGAGCUGGGGGUGGCCGCAGAGACCAGCGAGAAGCGACUGUUUACUAAAAACACAGGUCCGUGCGAAGCCGUAAGGCGAUGUAUACGGACUGACGCCUGCCCGGUGCUGGAACGUUAAGGGGACCGGUUAGUCAGGAUUCGUCUUGGCGAAGCUGAGAACUUAAGCGCCAGUAAACGGCGGUGGUAACUAUAACCAUCCUAAGGUAGCGAAAUUCCUUGUCGGGUAAGUUCCGACCUGCACGAAUGGCGUAACGACUUCUCGACUGUCUCAACCAUAGGCCCGGUGAAAUUGCACUACGAGUAAAGAUGCUCGUUUCGCGCAGCAGGACGGAAAGACCCCGGGACCUUUACUAUAGUUUGAUAUUGGUGUUCGGUUCGGCUUGUGUAGGAUAGCUGGGAGACUGUGAAGUGGGCACGCCAGUGUCUGUGGAGUCGUCGUUGAAAUACCAGUCUGGUCGUGCUGGAUGUCUAACCUGGGUCCGUGAUCCGGAUCAGGGACAGUGUCUGAUGGGUAGUUUAACUGGGGCGGUUGCCUCCUAAAGAGUAACGGAGGCGCCCAAAGGUUCCCUCAGCCUGGUUGGCAAUCAGGUGUUGAGUGUAAGUGCACAAGGGAGCUUGACUGUGAGACCGACGGGUCGAGCAGGGACGAAAGUCGGGACUAGUGAUCCGGCGGUGGCUUGUGGAAGCGCCGUCGCUCAACGGAUAAAAGGUACCCCGGGGAUAACAGGCUGAUCUUCCCCAAGAGUCCAUAUCGACGGGAUGGUUUGGCACCUCGAUGUCGGCUCGUCGCAUCCUGGGGCUGGAGUCGGUCCCAAGGGUUGGGCUGUUCGCCCAUUAAAGCGGUACGCGAGCUGGGUUUAGAACGUCGUGAGACAGUUCGGUCCCUAUCCGCUGCGCGCGCAGGAACAUUGAGAAGGGCUGUCCCUAGUACGAGAGGACCGGGACGGACGAACCUCUGGUGUGCCAGUUGUCCUGCCAAGGGCAUGGCUGGUUGGCUACGUUCGGGAGGGAUAACCGCUGAAAGCAUCUAAGCGGGAAGCCUGCUUCGAGAUGAGUGUUCCCACCCACUAGAUGGGGUAAGGCUCCCAGUAGACGACUGGGUUGAUAGGCCAGAUCUGGAAGCCCGGUAACGGGUGGAGGUGACUGGUACUAAUAGGCCGAGGGCUUGUCCUC